GGCGGGCGCUUCGAAAGGAGCUGCUGCUGCAUCCAACUCGGCUGGAAUUAGAACGGAGGCAGAUUUUGAGCGGGAGGACGAGGAGGGCAGCGGCGGCAGGUGAACGCAGCGCUGCGUAGGGCGAAGAUGCUGGAAAGGAGCGGAGGCGAAACAGGACGCUCCGGGGCGUGGAAGGAGGGAUGGAGAGCGGGAAACCGGGAAGACUGGGGCAAGGAAGUUCCUGGGCAACCAAACACCAGCUGCCUUCGAGACGUCUCAUGCCCAAACUUAACUUUCGCUUCCCUUGGAUUCGGCUCCCACUCGCUGGGUUUUGCUUUUCCUUUCUGCAGACUGUGAAGGUUGAAGGGGGGCGGGAGUGAGAGCAGAUUUCGAAGUGCAGCCGAAAACUUGUAACAGCUGAUGCUGCUCUUGCUUUGGAAGUGCUUGCAGGUAGAUGCUGCUCGAGGGUUGGGGGGGGGGUGACCGGGAGCAUCGGCGUGUUGCCUUUCCCCCCAGACUUGGCUGAGGAGGGACAGGAGCAGCCGAGGGGUGGGAUGGUGGCAGCAUCACCACCUGAAUGUGGGGAGAUUCUCCUGUCCAUUCAUUUCAUUGGAAUUUUGCAUCUUCCAAGAAUCCUAAAUUGCAGUGGGGUUGGUUUGUUUUUUAAGCCAAAGCAAACGAACAACACCAUCUGGAGCAUGCACCCGUUCCCUCCUGAACUCUUCAAUAGUUAUGUAGAUGGUUUGGUGCCAGUGGACCUUAUUCUGAUCUCAGUUUGCAUUUACACAGGAGGAAUCACUAUGUCCUUGAGGUUAAGCAAGUGGAACUGAAAUCAGAAUCUGGCAACCUUUCCUCCAACCCUCUCUUCCUUUCUCUCUCUGUCAGGUUUUGCCCAAGAGAUCUUUCUGAGCAUUUGCUGCUAAUAUUAACCUUCCUCUUCCUCUUUCUCUUCCUCUGUCUUUGUUACGUGUUCAUGUCUCUCUGUUUUGUAUGUGUGCGGUUCAUAAGUAUCUUGAAGAAAGAAAACACCCCGUCAGUGAGGAGCAUCUGCUCUCAUGUGCUCAUAUAAUCUGUCACUUGACCUCUCGUGUUGUAGGAUCACUUGCAACACCAUAGAGAAAGUCACAGUUUAAUUCACAUUGCCUCUUUCCUCGGAGGCUUGUCCGCUUUUUAGCAGGAAGGAAGGGGGGGGGAGGCAAGUGUAGAUUACAAUUUAGAACACAAUAAAAUUCUAGCAUGACAUGUGCCUACUUCUUAUUUUAAGAAGAGAGGGCAUUUUCCAAUUUUCAUGAGUGUUGUGGGGUCUCAAGAGCAGGUGAAAACCUUCAUUAUUUAAUCUGACAUAAUCUAUCCCUGGAUGGGAAAACUACCAUAGCUAUUGAUAACAAACCCAUUGUAACCAGCACUAACAUUAGGGUCUGUGCAUGCACAAGCAGAGGCACUCGCUGCGUUACUCCAUCUCUGUCUCCAUGUAAUAAGCAUUUGGGAUGGGAGUAUUGCUUCUGCUGGUGCUACAAAAUUAAUGUGGAAUGCUAAAUCAGUAACCACAGUUGACCAUGGAACAGCCCUUUUGAGUGAGUCAAGCAGCAUCAUAAUCUAUCGACUAAGUAGAGCUACAUUUUCUUAACGGUGUAUUUCAGGCUAUUGGUAUAUUACAUGCUGAAGCCAUAUGGGGUGUUGGGAAUAAAGUCCGAACAUUUAUUUGCCAGCUCAUGAAAAUUAAGAGCAGGCAGCAGUGGGUGCUUUUGUCAAAUGUAAUAACAGAAAGUACCCUGGUCGCUCCUUGUUGUGAUUUCAGACUAGUUUGAAAUGGAGACCUUGAGGAACAAAGAACCCUGGGCACUUGAGCCUCAUGCUAGCCAGCUGUUCUGUCACUGGCGCUAUGCAGCUUGCCAAGAUUGUUGAAGGCUAGUGGCACAUAUGCAACUUUGUCGAACUUAAAAAGGGUGGCUGCAGGAGUGUUCCCCUGCAGUGUAGGGCCUGCUCACCUUCAUUAUGUUUCCUGAGCUUUUAUUGAUUCCCCAUUUAGCGAUUCAAAGUGACUUGCCAAGAUUGGGUCUGCUCAAGUGGGCAUUGGUGUGUGUGUGUGUGUUUAAAUGUAAAAAGAAAAAUUGAAUUUACAAAACAGUGGCAGCUUUACAUAACAUGCCAACUCAAAAAAGAACAAAUAAACGUAUAAUGCACUACAGUGAAAUAAGGCAAUGGAAGUUUUAAUGUUCUUUUCUAGAUCCAAGGACCCUGUACCUACCCUGCUUUGUGUUUCAAGGAUCUUUGUGUGAUCCUAUGUGUCACAGAAAUCAGAUGUCAAGGUUUGAGGGCAUUCAAGGUUCUUUUGCGCCCUCUGUGAUUCUGUCUUUUAUCCAGUAAGGAUUCCUGUGCACUACGUAUAGCUGGGGGCAGUGCUAUUUUUCUAGAAAAAAGAGGUGCCGGAACUCACCAUGAAUGCCUCCCUUGUUCUCUUAUAAUGGCAAUAGCACCCACCUGAGAGGUGCCAUAACUGAUUUCCAGUUGGAAAACAGCCCUGGCUGGGGGAAAUCUCCUCGCACACCUACAGAGCUACUAUUUCUAUGUUCCAAGAGAUUAUAUAGAAAUAGUAAUGCAUACAUAGUUAUGCAAACUGAGUGUACAUUCUGUGCUUUUGGAACUUCAGCAUUUGGACUGGAUCACCAGACUUCGAUCUUGAAUUCAAGAAAUAGUAACAAUCCCCACUGAUAUUUAUGUGGUUGUGGGAGGCAUGAAGAAAGAAUGAGCCAAAUUUUUAUUUCAGAUGGCGAACCACAGGUAUCGGAGUUAUGUUGAGGGGGCAACAAUAUAGGUGUUGCAAAAAUUGUAGCUAUGCCAUUGCAUUGUGUUGCAUUGGAAAAAUGAACCAUUAUUUUAAAAGGUAGAAUGAUGCUACUUCCCCCAUUGCUUGCAAUUAAAAGAAGGCAGUACAUACAUUACUUCAAGUUAACAAAUAGUUCUGCGAAUAUUCAGUGAAGUUCACCAUACUAGUUGAGAACCUGUGCUCAGUUAUUCUGUUAUCACUGCGUAAUGGAACAUUGUUUCACUGCUUGGCUAUGUCUCUGCAGUGCUUUUCCAUACUAUCUUCUAUACAGGCUAAUCUGAAGAAGUGUGCAUGCACACGAAAGCUCAUACCAAAAUAAAAACUUAGUUGGUCUUUAAGGUGCUACUGAAGGAAUUUUUUUUUAUUUUACUUCGAUCCAGACCAACACGGCUACCUACCUGUAAACAGGCUAAUACUGUAUGGGGAAACUUGUCCCUUUGAGCCAAAGGGACAAGUUGAUUUCAUGUAUGGCUCCAGCUUUUUAACUUAAUAAUAUAUGGAGGGAAUUGUGUAUGAGACUUUGCUUUCAACCAGGGCAUUUCUAAAAUUUGCCUUCGCAUUAUGCUAACUGAACGUAGCAAAUAAAUAAUCAAAAGCUCCUAGCCAACUAUGGUUCUAGCCCCAUUAUGGUUCUGACUUUCCUAUCUGCCUAAAGCUUCCUUUACAAGCCUCUGCUAACUGCCAUUACCCUUACUGAGCAGUUUUCCAUUUUGUCUGUUACAUUUAUAUCUCCCUUUCCUGUAAAGAAUUGUGACAUAUAACUUAAAGGUACAGUUGACUGAGAGAGAAUGGCUGACCCCAGGUCAUCCAGCAAACCUCCAGGUGGGAAUGUGAACUUUGACCUUCCCCCGCCCAGGGUUCGAUCCACUGUACGGACUCUGCCACAAGUACCGGCAGAUUAGAAUACAGCCAAUAUUACUACUGCCUAUACUCGCGACUGGACCGUGUUUCCAGUGAGAGAUACAUAUUACAAACGCAUGCAAUAACUUAAGGGGACUGCAAACCUGAUAUGGUUCACAUUCAGGUGUUUGGGGGGUUGAAGUAUGUGAAGAUCCUAAGGGUGUUAUGACUUCAAGCAUUGCCACUGUUAUUGAACAAAAUGCUUUUGCUCUCCGGUCACCUCAAUGCACCUAUGCUACAUUUUAAUUGUGGCACCUAUAUAUGCCUAGUCAAAACCCAAAAGUUUUCUUUACAGUAGUCAUUUUUCAUUUCCAUCUGCAUCUCUUUCAAUUCUCUACUUUUCCUCUUUCUUCCCCGGCAUUGGUUUCAUCAGACACCCCUUUCCCCUCUAUCUUUUUUGAAGGAGCCCUUCCUCUCUCUUAAUUCCACUGUUAUUCUCUUUACCCUGCUUCUUUGUUUCAGCUGAAAAAUUGCUCCCCUUUAAAAACAAAAAGCCCACCUUUCCCAGUCAUUCUGGUAAGUAUUUUCUCCAGAGAACCAUCCUGCAAAGGUUAGCGCAAGAACCAAUAGCAAGUCUUCUUUUGUUUUCCUGUCUAGAUUCUCUGCCCAGGAGAAAUAUGGGGUCUUCCCAGUAGAACCUGCCAUUUUCCCCAAAACAACAGAAACUAAUGGAAAGAGGGCGGAGUUUAGAUAUUAUAGGGCACAGAAUAGAAAACUGCACCAACAGCAUCUAGCCAAAGACGCAGAAGUGAAGGAUUACCCAGGGAAUUGUUUCUCAUGGAUCAGUACCAUGUAAAAUUCACUCAGGAGCCAUAUACAACAAUGCUUAUGGGAAAUGCACGUCAUAUGUGGGAGCAGAAUAGUGGAUAGAGAUUUUGCAAGUAACUCUUGCUUUGCUGGCUGUGGGAAUACUGAGAUGCAAAUGGAUGGUGCGUCAAGACAGCCCCAAAUUAUUUUGGCCACAUCAAGUAACAAAGACUCCAAAAUGUGACUCUCCAAGAUGCAAUUCCAGGGUGCACAUUAAGCAGAGGUCUGUUUGGACUCUUUGGAGAAAGCCCUUCCUUAAGGUUCCUAUAGAAUCCAGAAUGGAUAGCACAGGAUAACAAAGCUGUUCCGCUGUUCUUUUAAUUUUUGCUACCUUUUAGGGGGUCUUCUCUUUAUUUCUACCAUCUUGCCGAAUAUCCUUUCUUACAUCAAAUUCUCCUUUCACAACUCAAGAGGUUGCGUUACCCCGCAGCACUUUUGGCCCAGGGAUUCUCCAUGGUGACCGACUGGACAACUUCCAAUACAGCCUAAACCUGCCUUUUUUGUCAGCUCCAUUGAUAAAUGCAUGGUGAAGUCUGUGUAGCUACAACCUUCAUGUUGGGAAGAGAAAAGGGCAGUAAGGAAGGGUUCAGGCAAUGGGUAUCUCUUCCCAGAGGCUCAUCUUCUUACCGGAUGCAUUAUUU
Zootoca vivipara (common lizard) is the source of this 5154-nucleotide non-coding RNA. Lineage: Eukaryota; Metazoa; Chordata; Lepidosauria; Squamata; Lacertidae. The record is from RefSeq and is a predicted model, not a curated record.